AAUUUUCGUCGUCGUCGUCUCCCGUUCCGCCCGCGCCAACAUGGGCCGCACCAACUUGGGCUGAGAAAGGAUCACCUGGGAAAAUCCGCCUCCGCUCCACAAACAAGGACCGCACCCCUAAUCACUUCCCUCGACCUGCCCUCAGCCGUCGCCGUCGCCGCCGCUGCCCUGCCCUCCGCUGCCACAAGAGUGUGCCUGGGACGACGCGCUUCAGAUCACCACACGGACCAACAACACUGCCGCCGCCGCACUACUCUCCUCCUGGUUUUUUUCUGCAGGAGGCACUGCAUCGUAGACAGGAUAUGCGCGGGUUGUGGGUGUGGCUGCCGGCGGCUCUGCGGGCGUCAUGUGCAUCAUGUCGGGCAGUUCGGCAGGUGGUCGCUGCGGGCGGCUGACAACCUGCUCCUACCGCACGUCCCACGACUAGGAGCAAGGGAAGACUCUCCUAUGGGAGGCCACUGGCUCGCUGCAGAUCCACAGCAGUUUGCAAGAUUAUAGGGAGUGGAGAAGACUUAGCUGGGUUGUAUGCAUCUCCAGUAGCACCACACAAACUUUACAGUAUGGCUGCAUUAGCUACACCAACAAUUCAAACUGCCGCUAGCCAGUUCACUCCCAUGUUAGCAGCUCAAUCUACCGAUGGUUUUCCAUCUCACCCCAUGUUAGCCAAAGGAUUAAUAUUUACUAAUUAAUGUUCACAACGUACGUGAUUUAGGUGUUGUAUGCUGUUUUUUUAGGACAAGCCAAAUCUCCAGUUAAGCUGCACGAUAUUAUAUCAGCAUUAUUUCUUUUUGCGCUGGGAUAAGGUGUAUGAUGCUUACACAUUGAAUAUUUCCAUAUGCAUUUGAUAUUUAACAUAUUUCAACAUUCCAGACUUCAUAAAACCAUGUCUAAUAGAGUGUAUAUAUCAUUUGCAUUGUUUAUCUUGUGGUCACACGGUGAGAAUUUCUAAGCUGAUUGAGGCAACGCAGUGAGAACACGAACUGGCGAUUUGGGGAUUUUUAGGGGCUGUUUGUUUGCCGGACAGAGAUUGCCAAGCCAAAGUUUGGCAUGCCACAGCGGAUUUGGCGGGCGUUUGGUUCAUUAACAAGUAUUGGCGCGCCACAGCCUCACCAUCCACCCGCCACAUGUUUUUGCCAGAAAACUUUGGCGGUCUUUUUCCCCGCCACACCCGCCUGUGGCUGCCAACACCGACAAAAUUAUCGGAGCUGCCGCGAAAAAAAUCGCCCAGUGCCUUCUUUCUCAGCUGUUUUCGAAAAAAAAUUCCCCUCUCCGCACUUUCACUCCACAGCGGCUCCCCUUCCCCCGACGUAGCGGAGCUCGCCAUCGCCACGCCUCCCAUCCCAGAACAGAUCUGAAGCAGAGAAAAGUGGGAGGAGAGUAUAGCAGCGCAAAGGGAGGCAGGGCAGCGGAAGUGGCAACAGAUUCAUGACCAGUCCGUGUGGCAGGAAAAGGGGGAAAAGCAAUGACCAAGAAAAGGUUGAAGGUUGAUGCUGAUGUAUCCUUUCGUGAGAGAACCGUGACUUGGGCUGAUGAUCAGAAGAAAUGCAUUCUUGAUUGGUACAUCGACUACUUGAAAGAUCAACAUGUAGGAUUUAAGUUCAAUAAGCAACAUCAUUUAUUGUGUGCUGAUGCAUUAAAUAAGAAUUCCCCAUGGGGAUGACCGUGGAUCAAGUGGACCGUCAGGCACUGAGUAAAAGUGGAAAUUCAUUUGAUCACACCAGAUGCAUUGUGACUAUUUCAGAAUCUGAAAAGACAACCCUAUGAGUAUGUUGUCUCAACCACAUUCAAUUUCUUAUGCGAGAAGGAAGGCUUAAAUCUGUGAACACUACAAGUUGGUUGCAACCUCAUUUUGUAUAUGUGUGUGCUACUCACAUAACGACUAGAACAUGUUUAGUGGCAAUAUUACUUUUGUUGCUUAUCAAUGCUAGCUGAAUAGAGCUUGAUAAGAUGUUGUUAGUAAUCUGGUCCAACUUAGCUUUUGUCAUGAAUGUUAUGUACUACUUAAUUGAAUGGUCUAAGUUCUGUAAUGAAAUUUGAACUACUGAUAAUCUAUUUGACAUAUUUUUGCUUCAACUAUUA
This is a long non-coding RNA of Lolium perenne, 2079 nucleotides long. RefSeq lists it as uncharacterized. The record is from RefSeq and is a predicted model, not a curated record. Lineage: Eukaryota; Viridiplantae; Streptophyta; Magnoliopsida; Poales; Poaceae.